RNAcentral lists this non-coding RNA (25 nucleotides) under Rattus norvegicus (Norway rat). Lineage: Eukaryota; Metazoa; Chordata; Mammalia; Rodentia; Muridae. The record is from RNAcentral.
CAUUACUUGGGGGUCAGUUGUGCUU